CUGAUCUUUGUCGUUCGCAUGCACAACAGCUGUUCGACAUUUGACGAGAUCUCUUACUGCAACUGAGGGCCUUCGCUUUGCUGUGGUUGUGGCACGGUUUAAUGAGAUUGUGAUGAAGCUGCUUUUGGAGGGAGCUUUGGACACGUUCAAGAGAUAUUCAGUUAAAGAAGAAGACAUUGAUGUAGUGUGGGUUCCUGGUAGUUUUGAAAUUGGUGUUGUUGCAGAAAAGCUUAGGAAGUCU
This is a long non-coding RNA of Camellia sinensis, 241 nucleotides long. RefSeq lists it as uncharacterized. The record is from RefSeq and is a predicted model, not a curated record. Lineage: Eukaryota; Viridiplantae; Streptophyta; Magnoliopsida; Ericales; Theaceae.